AAUCAACGCUGGCGGCGUGCCUAACACAUGCAAGUCGAACGAGAAAGUGGAGCAAUCCAUGAGUAAAGUGGCGACCGGGUGAGUAACACGUGACUAACCUACCUUCGAGUGGGGGAUAACCUCGGGAAACCGGGGCUAAUACCGCAUAACAUCUUUGAAGUGGAAAUUUCGGAGAUCAAAGGAGCAAUUCGCUGGAAGAGGGGGUCGCGGCUGAUUAGCUAGUUGGCGGGGUAACGCCCACCAAGGCUAGAUCGGUAGCCGGCCUGAGAGGGCGCACGGCCACACUGGAACUGAAACACGGUCCGGACUCCUACGGGAGGCAGCAGUGGGGAAUUUUGCGCAAUGGGGGAAACCCUGACGCAGCAACGCCGCGUGGAGGAUGAAGUCCUUGGGACGUAAACUCCUUUCGACCCGGACGAUAAUGACGGUACGGGUGGAAGAAGCCCCGGCUAACUUCGUGCCAGCCGCCGCUGUAAC
RNAcentral lists this ribosomal RNA (477 nucleotides) under uncultured bacterium. RNAcentral's name for it is "bacterial SSU rRNA". It matches the Rfam family "Bacterial small subunit ribosomal RNA", at positions 32 to 524 of the family's 1533-position model. The record is from RNAcentral.